AUGACGGAGAGUUCGAUCCUGGCUCAGAACGAACGCUGGCGGCGCGUCUUAAGCAUGCAAGUCGAACGAAUGGCACUUCGGUGCCGGAAGUGGCGGACGGGUG
This 103-nucleotide ribosomal RNA is filed under the name Spirochaetales bacterium. RNAcentral describes it as "partial 16S ribosomal RNA". It matches the Rfam family "Bacterial small subunit ribosomal RNA", at positions 1 to 108 of the family's 1533-position model. Lineage: Bacteria; Pseudomonadati; Spirochaetota; Spirochaetia; Spirochaetales. The record is from RNAcentral.